This is a long non-coding RNA of Aegilops tauschii subsp. strangulata, 1188 nucleotides long. RefSeq lists it as uncharacterized. The record is from RefSeq and is a predicted model, not a curated record. NCBI's taxonomy places the organism in Eukaryota, Viridiplantae, Streptophyta, Magnoliopsida, Poales, Poaceae.
ACUACUGACAUUGACGUUAAAAGGGCAAUAUUUGUAGGAAUUUCGCUUACCUGUUUUGUACAUCCAUAGUCUCAGGAAUAUCUAAAUUUAUAAAAACUUGAGUUGCACUAUUUGACGAUAGAGAAUAUCCUGCAUAGUGGUUGAAAUAAUCAUUUUCCUAUGUAAACCAAGCAGAGAGAUAAUAAAAUAAGUGAUUAAAAUUUGAAAGAAGACAUACUGCCAAAUUUCCUCACUGUUGUUGAUGUAAUUAUAAUGACAUUCCCUAUUGACUUGACAUCAAUUAGAUCAGCUUUGUCACCCCAUAAUCUAACUUUGACUUCCUGGUCUCUGUCAACAAAAAGUAAAAUGUGAAGACAUGACAUGAGCACCUUCGCUGCGAAUAAGAUGUAUUUUUUGGCUUACUCGAUUAGAAGGAAAAUAUCACGGAUUCUGGAGGGCCCAAGAUAUGUUCUAGUUUCUUCAAUUUGUCCUAUGUGUGUUGCAACUCCAAUAACAUCUGUUAGCACAUGAAUUUAGAUGGCAUUUUAUAUAUGCCAUGAAAAAAUGGCAUAUUGUAUCUUAAAAGUUCAUUGAUGUCAUACCUGAGAGAUAAGUGUCAAUGCUUACUCUUUGGGAGAGUACCUCCAUGCUUGAAAAGUUGAAACCAUGCUUUGGAAUGUCUCCAUUAUCUUCAAUCUUCUCUAUACUUGUUGUGGGUGAGAAGUUGAUCAUCAUCUCAUUUUGUACAGGUCGAAAUUUUGCUGCUGCUGGAAUGACUCUCACAUUUUUAAUGAGGAGAGCUUUUUGUCCAAACCUUUGUGAUUAGACCCAAUCGGACAGGACGGCGGCCCGUUUGAGAUGGGAGCGAGGGAAGGUGCUAUCCGUUGCAGACGUGUGUGUGUGUAUAUAUAUAUAUAUAUAUAUAUAUAUAUAUAUAUAUAUAUAUAUAUAUAUAUAUAUAUAUAUAUAUAUAUAUAUAGGGAUUGACUAUUCGUCACCCUGGGUGAGGGAUAGUUAUUCUUCACCCCCUCUAUUUUAACAUCUAUGCACCGUAAUUUUAUGUUUCAUAAGUUUUUGUUUUAUUUCAUACGUAAUAAGAGAGUGUAAGAAAAUAUGUAAUCACUGUAAAAAAUAUUUUAUGUUACGUAAAAUUAUAGACGUAAAAAUAUAGUGUAAAAUAUACAUAAAAAUGCAAUUUUUCUGGUCUUA